RNAcentral lists this ribosomal RNA (468 nucleotides) under uncultured bacterium. RNAcentral describes it as "partial 16S ribosomal RNA". It matches the Rfam family "Bacterial small subunit ribosomal RNA", at positions 28 to 507 of the family's 1533-position model. The record is from RNAcentral.
GACGAACGCUGGCGGCGUGCUUAACACAUGCAAGUCGAACGGAAAGGCCCUGCUUUUGUGGGGUGCUCGAGUGGCGAACGGGUGAGUAACACGUGAGUAACCUGCCCUUGACUUUGGGAUAACUUCAGGAAACUGGGGCUAAUACCGGAUAGGAGCUCCUGCUGCAUGGUGGGGGUUGGAAAGUUUCGGCGGUUGGGGAUGGACUCGCGGCUUAUCAGCUUGUUGGUGGGGUAGUGGCUUACCAAGGCUUUGACGGGUAGCCGGCCUGAGAGGGUGACCGGCCACAUUGGGACUGAGAUACGGCCCAGACUCCUACGGGAGGCAGCAGUGGGGAAUAUUGCACAAUGGGCGGAAGCCUGGUGCAGCAACGCCGCGUGCGGGAUGAAGGCCUUCGGGUUGUAAACCGCUUUCGCCUGUGACGAAGCGUGAGUGACGGUAAUGGGUAAAGAAGCACCGGCUAACUACGUG